This 274-nucleotide unclassified non-coding RNA is filed under the name Leotiomycetes sp. Its description in RNAcentral is "partial contains 5.8S ribosomal RNA, internal transcribed spacer 2, and large subunit ribosomal RNA". The stretch from base 1 to 71 matches the Rfam family "5.8S ribosomal RNA", at positions 84 to 154 of the family's 154-position model. The record is from RNAcentral. Lineage: Eukaryota; Fungi; Ascomycota; Leotiomycetes.
GUGAGUCAUCGAAUCUUUGAACGCACAUUGCACCCUCUGGAAUUCUAGGGGGUAUGCCUGUUCGAGCGUCAUUUCAACCCUCAAGCACUGCUUGGUAUUGGAUGCAAUCACUUGUGGUGCAUCUCAAAAGCAUUAGCAGUACAUUCAGCUUCUAGUGUAGUAAUUUUCUCGCUUUGGAGUUUGGAUGCGACUGCUGGAACCCACAUUUAUCAAUGGUUGACCUCGGAUCAGGUAGGGAUACCCGCUGAACUUAAGCAUAUCAAUAAGCGGAGGA